This 467-nucleotide ribosomal RNA is filed under the name uncultured bacterium. Its description in RNAcentral is "partial 16S ribosomal RNA". It matches the Rfam family "Bacterial small subunit ribosomal RNA", at positions 28 to 507 of the family's 1533-position model. The record is from RNAcentral.
GACGAACGCUGGCGGCGUGCUUAACACAUGCAAGUCGAACGGAAAGGCCCUGCUUUUGUGGGGUGCUCGAGUGGCGAACGGGUGAGUAACACGUGAGUAACCUGCCCUGACUUUGGGAUAACUUCAGGAAACUGGGGCUAAUACCGGAUAGGAGCUCCUGCUGCAUGGUGGGGGUUGGAAAGUUUCGGCGGUUGGGGAUGGACUCGCGGCUUAUCAGCUUGUUGGUGGGGUAGUGGCUUACCAAGGCUUUGACGGGUAGCCGGCCUGAGAGGGUGACCGGCCACAUUGGGACUGAGAUACGGUCCAGACUCCUACGGGAGGCAGCAGUGGGGAAUAUUGCACAAUGGGCGGAAGCCUGAUGCAGCAACGCCGCGUGCGGGAUGACGGCCUUCGGGUUGUAAACCGCUUUCGCCUGUGACGAAGCGUGAGUGACGGUAAUGGGUAAAGAAGCACCGGCUAACUACGUG